ACACACAUACACACACACACACACACACACACAUACAGAGGGAGAAAGAGAGAGAGAGAUGAGAGCUGUGUAUAUGCUGCAUACAUAUCCAUGUGUGUGUGUGUGUGUGUGUUUGUGUGUGUUUGUGUGUGUGUGGAGCUCAACGUGUCCCUCGACCAUUUCUCGGCCCCUCACACAGUCCUGACCAACAUUCUUUUAUACACACAGACAGCAUGUCAACCACGUGACCCCUUCAGCCAGGGGACGGUCAGGUAGGACAGGUGCGUUUAUGACACGUGUCCAAGAGGAGUGUGUGUCUGACCUCCAUUCAGGAGCUGACACGCAGAUUCCAUACACACCACACACGCAACGAUCUCAGAUGGUUUAUUGUAUUAUAGUUUAUGUUAUACCACAUCAUUGGUGAAUUCUGGAUUUGUGAGGAGAUGUUUAUCUAACAUUUACGGAAGGACUUGCGCUUUACGGUUUCUCCGUAAUAGGACAAGCUGCAUUUUUUGUCUUAUUUACAUCAAGAGAAGGACUAAAAUUCCAAAAACAAACUGAAGGCUUUACAUUUAUCAAGAUAGUGGCCUGAGAGAGAGAACGAGAGAGAGACAGAGACAGAAAGAGCGAGAGAGACAGAGAGAGAGAGAGAGUCAUGCUAGAGUUACUCCUCCUGUUAAAUCUCAGCUUGGCUACAUUGAUUUUGCUCAAGUUUGGCAUUACCAGCAGUAAAUAAUGUGUGUGAGUGUGUGUGUGUGUGUGUGUGUGUGUGUGUGGGCUUUGGCCUUUCUGCAUUCAUUCCGAGUGGCUGUUUGAACACAGAGCAGCACACGCACUCCUCUUUCCUCUAUCAUCCCGCUCGCCUCUUAUAUCCAAAUAUUGACACCGGCCACUUUUAUCAGUGCUAAACUGCUCACGAGCCUCGCGCACACCUCGAUUUCCUGCUAUCGAUUAUCUCCUUCCCGGCAGCAGGUAGUCGUCCUGUCCUUGCAGGCUGUCCAGAGGAAUCGCUUCCAAACGGCUUUAUAUGCACAAUUUACACGCCCACUGGCGUUCUAAAGAGAACAUUAUCCUCGGUUCAAAUCUCGUGAAAAACGCAACUCGUGGGUGCGUUCCUCAUUUUUCGUUCACUGCUUGAUAUAUCCAUCAUGUUUUGAUGCGUGUUUGUAUAACAGCACUGAUCUGUUAGCACCAAAAAAAAAAAAAUCAUCGCACCGAAUGGUUUUGAUUAGGAUCAAUCAGGAAGCAGGCAACAAAGAACCUUCUUAUAUUGGGUAUAUGAAGUGAAAAUGAGAAGCAGGAAAAAAAGCCUUUCGCCGGAUUGUUUCAAGGUCUAACGUACAGAAUGUGGCAUCUUGGGUUUAUCCUUUGCCUCACAGUUCAAGGACUUUUUUUUUCUACACCAAAGGUCAGAAGUGUAACAUAAUUAUCCUGCGUAUGCGCACUAUAGGAAACAUAUGCUUCAGACCCAUAUGGAUUCAUAAUCCACUGCUAGGAAGCAUGGUGUUUGAUGGUGAAUUGACAGAGUUGUGUUUAUUUCAUUUAUUCAACUGUGGUUAAUUGAAGAAUUUUGGUUUAUUUCAGCCUGUCAUUCGAGGAGCUGUUGAGGAACCUGUGUAGUGCACCUUACACACACACGCGCAGUACAGGACACCUCUGUUGUUGGUAGAUAUAAAAUCAUCCUGAAUGACACAGAUAAUGAGAGCCGACCCGCACAACGCACACAUAAACAAGCUCCGAGGCCCGCGUGAUGAGCGCCGCUACACUCCCUCCAGUUGAAAAAAUAUUUGCUUUAGCGCUCAUAAACAACAAGUUUCUCUCUCUCUUUUUUUUGCUUUCCCUGAGCUGAAAUGUGGCCUGUCACAAAAGGUGCAUUCAUGGGGGAAAAAAGCCCCUCACCCGGAUCCUUGGUGGCAGGAGAUGAGCUGCUUCAGCUCCAGAAUUAAAUUAUUUUUAAAUGCAGCUUAUGCAUUUUACAUGACCCAUGCUGCUUCCUCUACCCUCUUCUAUCCUUGCCUCACUUCUUUCUCUUUUUUUCCCUCUUUUAAAGAGCUCGGAGGUGGUGGAGGUAGAGGUGGAGGUGGAUGUGGAGGUGGAGGUGGUGGAGGUGGAAGGGGGAGCCAGGAUGUUGAACCCCAGGAAUCAGAGACUUGCUGAAAGUUAACCGUUCUGGCCUGCUUUUUGCGUCUGGUGUCACUGGUGGUGACAAAGCCCACCUGAAACCCUCGACCUCGCCAAUUUUAUCACUGUAUUCACGAAUCCUUGUGUCCGUGUGGGAUUUGAGUGAUCUACUGUAACGCACAAGAGUAACGAAUAACCGCCGGUGGAGAGGAAGUGAACACAGAAACGCAGCGAGCGUUGCUGGGUGCUUCUUUCGGAUUUAUCCGCCUUUCCCGGCGCUUCCCUCCUGCAGCUCUGCGAUCCCAGGAUGUUUCAUCUUCUUUGGGGAAUUUCAUGGCAGUUAGUCCUUGUCAUCAGUGAACUUCGCAACGUAAUAAAACACUGCCUCCAUUUUUUUUACUACUCUUUUUUGUGGACAUAUCUGAGGCCGGAUUCCCUCCCGUUACUGUUUCCUGUAGUCGUGUCCGUGUGUUAUCUCAUACACCUAAUAAAAAAGCCGAGGCUCCUGUGGGAGAUUGGAAGGUU
Pangasianodon hypophthalmus (striped catfish) is the source of this 2625-nucleotide long non-coding RNA. RefSeq lists it as uncharacterized. Lineage: Eukaryota; Metazoa; Chordata; Actinopteri; Siluriformes; Pangasiidae. The record is from RefSeq and is a predicted model, not a curated record. The transcript is spliced from 2 exons.